RNAcentral lists this ribosomal RNA (253 nucleotides) under uncultured bacterium. RNAcentral describes it as "partial 16S ribosomal RNA". It matches the Rfam family "Bacterial small subunit ribosomal RNA", at positions 524 to 776 of the family's 1533-position model. The record is from RNAcentral.
UACAGAGGGUGCGAGCGUUGUUCGGAAUUAUUGGGCGUAAAGGGCGCGUAGGCGGUGCGGUAAGUCACCUGUGAAAUCUCCUGGCUCAACUGGGAGCUUGCAGGCGAAACUGCCGUGCUGGAGUGUGGGAGAGGUGCGUGGAAUUCCCGGUGUAGCGGUGAAAUGCGUAGAUAUCGGAAGGAACGCCGGUGGCGAAAGCGGCGCGCUGGAUCUCACCUGACGCUGAGGCGCGAAAGCCAGGGGAGCAAACGGG